This 499-nucleotide ribosomal RNA is filed under the name uncultured bacterium. Its description in RNAcentral is "partial 16S ribosomal RNA". It matches the Rfam family "Bacterial small subunit ribosomal RNA", at positions 29 to 507 of the family's 1533-position model. The record is from RNAcentral.
ACGAACGCUGGCGGCGUGCUUAACACAUGCAAGUCGAACGGGUCUGCCCUGUUUUUUGCGGGGUGGGUCAGUGGCGAACGGGUGAGUAACACGUGAGUAACCUGCCCCUCACUUCUGGAUAACCGCUUGAAAGGGUGGCUAAUACGGGGUGUUCUGGCUGUGCCGCAUGGUGUGGCUGGGAAAGAUUCACUUUUGUGGUGUUUUGGUGGGGGAUGGGCUCGCGGCCUAUCAGCUUGUUGGUGGGGUGAUGGCCUGCCAAGGCUUUGACGGGUAGCCGGCCUGAGAGGGUGGGCGGUCACACUGGGACUGAGAUACGGCCCAGACUCCUGCGGGAGGCAGCAGUGGGGGGUAUUGCACAAUGGGCGGAAGCCUGAUUCAGCGACGUCGCGUGAGGGAUGGAGGCCUUCGGGUUGUGAACCUCUUUCGCCGGUGAAGAAGGUCCUGCUCUUUGUGGUGGGGUUGACGGUAGCCGGGUUAUGAAGCGCCGGCUAACUACGUG